UACGAGGGGGGCAAGCGUUGUUCGGAAUUAUUGGGCGUAAAGCGCUCGUAGGCGGGACAGGAAGUCCGUGAAGAAAGACCUGGGCUCAACUCAGGGAACGGCACGGAUACUCUUGUUCUUGAGGCAAUCAGAGGGUGAUGGAAUUCCCGGUGUAGCGGUGAAAUGCGUAGAUAUCGUGAGGAAGACCAGUGGCGAAGGCGAAUCUCUGGACAGUAACUGACGCUGAGGCACGAAGGCUAGGGGAGCAAACGGG
Molecule: ribosomal RNA, 253 nt
Filed under: uncultured prokaryote
Description: partial 16S ribosomal RNA
Rfam family: Bacterial small subunit ribosomal RNA
Source: RNAcentral